RNAcentral lists this unclassified non-coding RNA (335 nucleotides) under soil metagenome. RNAcentral describes it as "partial contains 5.8S ribosomal RNA, internal transcribed spacer 2, and large subunit ribosomal RNA". The stretch from base 1 to 120 matches the Rfam family "5.8S ribosomal RNA", at positions 35 to 154 of the family's 154-position model. The record is from RNAcentral.
GAUGAAGAACGCAGCGAAAUGCGAUAAGUAGUGUGAAUUGCAGAAUUCAGUGAAUCAUCGAAUCUUUGAACGCACAUUGCGCCCCUUGGUACUCCAUGGGGCAUGCCUGUUCGAGCGUCAUUUACACCCUCAAGCUCUGCUUGGUGUUGGGCGUCUGUCCCGCUUCGUGCGCGGACUCGCCUCAAAUGCAUUGGCAGCGGUCUUGCCAGCUUCUCGCGCAGCACAUUGCGCUUCUAGAGGCUUUGGCGGAUCGGCGUCCAACAAGUACACCCACAGUUUGACCUCGGAUCAGGUAGGGAUACCCGCUGAACUUAAGCAUAUCAAUAAGCGGAGGA